RNAcentral lists this ribosomal RNA (764 nucleotides) under uncultured fungus. RNAcentral describes it as "eukaryotic LSU rRNA". The stretch from base 1 to 241 matches the Rfam family "Eukaryotic small subunit ribosomal RNA", at positions 1593 to 1831 of the family's 1831-position model. Lineage: Eukaryota; Fungi. The record is from RNAcentral.
UUGCUCUUCAACGAGGAAUGCCUAGUAAGCGCGUGUCAUCAGCAUGCGUUGAUUACGUCCCUGCCCUUUGUACACACCGCCCGUCGCUACUACCGAUUGAAUGGCUCAGUGAGGCCUUCGGACUGGCUUGAGGAGGUUGGCAACGACCACCUUGAGCCGGAAAGUUCGUCAAACUCGGUCAUUUAGAGGAAGUAAAAGUCGUAACAAGGUUUCCGUAGGUGAACCUGCGGAAGGAUCAUUACCUUUCAGUACGGGGCUUAUAGCUUGCUAUAGCCCCUGUCUGCAUCCAUGUCUUUUGCGUACUACUUGUUUCCUCGGCGGGUCUUGCCCGCCGGUUGGACAACUUUAAACUCUUUGUAAUUGCAAUCAGCGUCUGAAAACUAUAAUAGUUACAACUUUCAACAACGGAUCUCUUGGUUCUGGCAUCGAUGAAGAACGCAGCGAAAUGCGAUAAGUAGUGUGAAUUGCAGAAUUCAGUGAAUCAUCGAAUCUUUGAACGCACAUUGCGCCCCUUGGUAUUCCAUGGGGCAUGCCCGUUCGAGCGUCAUUUGUACCCUCAAGCUCUGCUUGGUGUUGGGUGUUUGUCCUAUCCUCUGCGACUGGACUCGCCUUAAAAUUAUUGGCAGCCGGCAUAUUGGCCUUGGAGCGCAGCACAUUUUGCGAGUCAAGCCUUUACACUGGCGUCCAUUAAGCCUUUUUAUCACUUUUGACCUCGGAUCAGGUAGGGAUACCCGCUGAACUUAAGCAUAUCAAUAAGCGGAGGA